ACCUGUGAUGGUUAAAAAAAAAAAAUUAAAACAAAAAAACUCCUCCCUUCAUUUUGGAAAAGCGCAUCCUAAACAAAAUAUUUCACCCCUCGUCCCAGCUGCUCCCUCUUGUCUCCCUCACUUCACUCGAUCUUCUGCUUCUCACUGCUUCUUCCCCACCACCAUCCAUCCCAAAGCACCGGCAUGUUGUAGAUGCCAUUCCAAGCACCCCGUCUCUCCUACGCGUUUCUCCCCCUGCUUCUCACUGUCAACUCGCCUACUUCCGGAAGCCACCACCCCACAACCGCCGCCUCUCCUCUCCUGGGCAAAGACUCGCGCGCACCACCACUUUCGCCGGCUCGCCUACCGCUAGACAACGCUAGGUUGUGGCUAGGUUCAACGAAUUUGUGACAAGACGGCUAAUGGAAGGAGCUCUUGACACUUUCAAGAAAUAUUCUGUCAAUGAAGAUAUUGAUGUUGUUUGGGUUCCUGGUGCGUAUGAGCUAGGCGUCACUACAUAGGCACUUGGCAAAUCAGGAAAAUAUCAUGCUAUCAUUUGUCUUGGAGCAGUGAUACAGGUUGUGGCUCACACUUAUGUUCCAAUCCACAGGGACUAAGAAGAAGUAGAAAGUUAAGCAAGGGUGAAGUCGACCUACGAGUGGGAAAUGGAGCACAGAUUGCUGCAUUAGCUGUAGGAACUUAUUAUUUGUUGUUGCCCUCUGGGCUAGUUUUGGAACUGGAAGAGUGUUUCCAUGUUCCAAGUCUUACUAAAAACAUCAUUUCUGUUUCUUGCUUAGAUGCUAAGGGAUUUUCCUUUUUAAUAAA
Spinacia oleracea (spinach) is the source of this 804-nucleotide long non-coding RNA. RefSeq lists it as uncharacterized. The record is from RefSeq and is a predicted model, not a curated record. The transcript has 4 exons. NCBI's taxonomy places the organism in Eukaryota, Viridiplantae, Streptophyta, Magnoliopsida, Caryophyllales, Amaranthaceae.